This is a long non-coding RNA of Gorilla gorilla gorilla (western lowland gorilla), 6110 nucleotides long. RefSeq lists it as uncharacterized. The transcript is spliced from 5 exons. The record is from RefSeq and is a predicted model, not a curated record. NCBI's taxonomy places the organism in Eukaryota, Metazoa, Chordata, Mammalia, Primates, Hominidae.
UGCGGCCGGGCCGUACCACUGGCAGCGCGGCAGGGGCGGCCGGCCAGGCCCCGCUGGGCGCAGGCCUAUGGAGGGCGGAACCCUGGAGCCCCCAGGGGAGGGCACGGCACAGCCUCCUGCCCCCAACAGGAUUCCUCACAUCCCAGGACCAGCUGGAAAAGGUGGUGAGAGUUGGAAAGAGACUGCUCAGUGAGGACUGCCCUGCGAACCAGCUUGGAUUCAUCCCGUUCACCUCCACGUUCUGCACGCGGGGCCGAGGGAAGGGAGGCAGCCCAGGCCGCUAGAGAACUUGAUGAAACACACUCAAUCUGAAUCUCGCUUGAUCGUCAUGCUGACCCAGUGAGACUCCCUAAUGGACCUGAGGAACAGUAACAACACUACAACUAAGCCAAAAGGAGAAAGGCCGACACUUACUGACUCGCUGCCACUUGGAGACCCAGCUGUCCUCUGGACUCAUCAUUGCAAUGAUUCUAGGGAGGGAAAAGAAAUGGAGAGUCAGCCUGAGCCUCCCUGGGCCUGAGCUCAAUUCUGAGAGAGGAAUCUAGGAAAAAGCCAAGUACUGAGUCUCCACUGGAAAGCUGGAAAAACUGCCUUCUGAUGUUGGGAUGAGGCUGACUCAAAGCUAGGACUGACAAAAGUUCUUCAUUCUUAUGUCCUUGGCCUGCCAGCCACAGGUCAGUUUCCAUCCCCAAAAGAUUAUCUCACUCGGCUCACAAACAUCCUUAGCCUAACAUUCCCUAGAAAAUGAGACGGCUUUAGGACUAGGGGUCCAAUAGUUACAACUAACACAACUACAAGGGGUCUAGGGCCUAGUGCAAAGAGGAGGGUGAGUCAAAACAACAGAUCCUCCUACUAGAAAGGAGUUCAACUUGGCUAAACUUUUCCUCUUAAUGACCUAUACAUAUAGGGACCCCUCUAAUGACCUAUACAUGUGGGGUUCCCUUCUCAGAACCUCAUCAGUAAGCUGAGACUCAAAGGUUGAGAUAAUACAUGAAAAACACCUAGCACAAAGACUAGCACAGAGUAGGUGCUAAAUAAGCAUUAGCUCUCCUCAUUAUCCUAAUAGUCCUUCCCAGGUAGCUGUGAUUCCAGAGGAAUGGUAAGGCUAUUCAAGGGCUAGAAGAUGCUGCUUGAGCAAGAUGGGUAAGCAUUUUUGUUAUUCAAUGCAUUCAAUCAAAUGCUUACUGCCUGCCUAUUGUGUGGGUGUAAGCACUGACAUUUGUUGACUGCCUCAAUAUGCCUCCCCUCUUCUCUCAACAAUCUUGGAUUCUUAUUUGAGAAGAUUCCCUUCCCAUCCAAAUCCUACAUUCUCAGCCAUGCGCUGUUAAGUGGAACCGACCCUACCUCCAGGGGUGACAAGCAGAACACUAGCCCCCAGCCCUGCAGCCUGAUGGGAGAUAGGCAUGUAUGCAGGCCAUCCUCAUGACCACAAGUAUAUUCUUCUCUGUCCUUCGCAAUCUAUCUUUUUAGCCUUAGGGUCCCUACAGCCCAACCUUAUGAUUUAACCUAAACAGAAUUCCCACUGUUCUCCAAAAACAUCCCGGUUUUCCCCAUCCUAAGCCUUUGCUCUAGUCACUCCCUUUAUUUGGAAUGUUCUCUGUCUCACCUCAACUUCCUCAAAAAUCCCAAACUUCUUGCCUUAAGAGGAAAGUACUACCUCUUCCAAUUCUGGUUGAGGUCAUCUAGCCCUCUUCCGAUCUUUAAUUUGCCCACUCUUUAAGACCUAAUAUGCACUAGAAUUAUACAAAUAAUUCCUACAACCUAACAACAAAAAAACCAAACUGAAGUAAAAAAUGAGCAAAGGCCUUGAAUAGGCAUUUCUCCAAAGAUAUACAAAUGGCUAUAAGCACAUAAGAGGCUCAACAUCACCAUUCAUUGGGGGAAAUGGGACACCAAAGUCACACCCAUCAGGAUGGCUAUUAUUAAUAAAUAAUAAGUGUUGGUGAGGAUGGGGAGAAAUUAGAACCUUUGGGCACUGUUGGCGGGAAUGGAAAAUGGUGCAGUUGCUAAACAGUAUGACAGUUCCUCAAAAAAUUAAACACUGAACUAUCAUAUGAUCUAGCAAUUUCACCUGUGGAUAUACAGAUGAUCCCUGACUUACCUUAGUUCAACUUAUGAUUUUUCAAAUUUAUGACUGUGCAAAAGUGACAUGCAUUCAAUAGAAAUCGUUUUCAAAUUUUAAAUUUUGUCCUUUUCCAGACUAGCAAUUCAGUACAAUAUUCUGUCAUGAUGCUGCGCAGCAGCCAUGAGCCACAGCUUCUGGUCAGCCACAGCAACAUAAGCGUUCUGAGCACAUUUAAAGUAGGCUAACUUAUUAUAUUCAGUAGGUUGGGUGUGUUAAAUGCACUUUUGGCUUAUAUUUUCAACUUAUGAUGGGCUUAUUAGGUUGUAACUCCUCGGAAGUUGAGGAGCAUCUGUACUGAAAAUAAUGAAAAGCAGGGACUUGAACACAUAUUUGUAUACCAAUGUUCACAGCAGUAUUACUCACAAAUAGCCAAAAGGGAGAAACAACCCAAGAGAUCAUUGAUGAAUGAAUGGGCAGCAGAACAUGCUAUACACAUACAAGGGAAUAUUAUUCAGCUCAAAAAAGGAGGGAAGUUCUGUUGCAUACUACAAUAUGAAUGAACCUUGAAGACAUUAUGUUAAGUGAAAGAAGCUACAAAAUGCUACUGAAUGAGCCCAUAGGUACCUAAGGGUGCCUAAGGUGGCUAAAUUCAUAGAGACAAAGCAUGGUGGUUGUCAGGGACAGGAGGGAGGAGAGAAUGAGGAGCUAGUGUUUAAUGGGUACAGAUGAAAAAAGUUCUGGAGAUGGAUGGUGGUGACGGUUGCACAACAAUGAGUAUGCACUAAUGCCACUGAAUUGUGUAUUUAGAAAUGGCGACCGGGCACAGUGGCUCAUGCCUGUAAUCCCAGCACUUUGGGAGGCUGAGACGGGAGGAUCACCUGAGGUCAGGAGUUCGAGACCAGCCUGGCCAGCAUGGCAAAACCCUGUCUCUACUAAAAAAGUACAAAAAUUAGCUGGGCGUGGCGGUGGGCGCCUGUAAUCCCAGCUACUCAGGAGGCUGAGGCAGGAGGCGGAGGUUGCAGUGAGCUGAGAUCGUGCCAUUGCAGCCGGGCGCUGUGGCUCACUCCUGUAAUCCCAGCACUUUGGGAGGCCGAGGCUGGUGGAUCACGAGGUCAGCAGUUCAAGACCAGUCUGACCAACAUGGUGAAACCCCGUAUCUACUAAAAAUACAAAAAUUAGCUGGGUAUGGUGGCAGGUGCCUGUAAUCCCAGCUACUCAGGAGGCUGAGGCAGAGAACUGCUUGAACCUGGGAGGUGGAGGUUGCAGUGAGCCGAGAUUGCGCCACUGCACUCCAGCCUGGGCGACAGAGCGAGACUCCAUCUCAAAUAAAUAAAUAAAUAAAUAAAUAAGUAAAAUGGCUAAAAUGGGCCGGGCAUGGUGACUCAUACUUGUAAUCCCAGCACUAUGAGAGGCCAAGGUGGGCAGAUCACCUGAGGUCAGGAGUUUGAGACCAGCCUGGCCAACAUGGUGAAACCCCGUCUCUACUAAAGAUAUAAAAAUUAGCUGGGAAAAAUCUCAGCUACUAAAGAGGCUGAGGCAGGAGAAUUGCUUGAACCCAGGAGGCAGAGGUUGCCGUGAGCCGAGACUGCGCCAUUGCACUCCAACCUGAGUGGCAAGGGCGAAAAGUCUGUCCAAAAAAAAAAAAAAAAAGCAACAGCUUUUGGGCAAUGAUCUACCAUUACUACACCUCCCUUCCCUUCAUUUUCAAAAAAAAUUUUCAUGCAUUUAACAAACAUUAUUAAGAUUACAUUCUUUCUUCUCAUGUUAAGUCUUUGAAAUCUGGGGUAUAUUUUAUAUUUAAAAGCAUGUCUUAAUUUGGACUAGACACAUUUCAAGUGCUCAGUAGCUACACGUGGAUAGUGGUCACUGUAUUAGAUGCAUAGCACUAGUAUGUCCCAAAAUAACUGUUGAGGCUGGACACAGUGGCUUACACCUAUAAUCCCAGCACUCUGGGAGGUUGAAGUCAGAGGAUCAUUCCACGCUGCAGUGAGCUAUGAUCAUGCCACUGCACUCCAGCCUGAGCCACAGAGCAAAACCCUGAUUAAAAAAAAAAAAAAAAAAAACCCACACAAAAUAACCCCCAAAAACGAAUGGCUGGGCCCAACUAGGAUUAACACUUGCCCUGCAUUUACUUCUCUGGGUGCAGGUUGGGUAAUGCAGAAGUGAAUGAUGGAAACUGAAGCGGCUUACCCAUCAAAGGAAGAGCUAGUGCAGUCAUAUACCAUCUCUCGGUUACCCUUCAUUUGUAGAUAUGCAUCACAAUUGUCACAACCAUCAUAUUCAAACUGGUCUAUAGUCUGGGAGUGAAAGAAAAAUAAAGAAAAAGGAGAGAUAAACAUGAACAAGACCAAGAGAAAAAGUAGCUUUCUCAAUACUUCGACCUGCUCAAUUUCUUGUUUCCCUAUGUUGACUUUGUAUCCUAAGGUUCCCCACCUACUACUCUCAAAGCUCCAUUCCUAAGUCCCACCCUCCCACUCCUUCCUCUCUUGUUGCCAGUUCCGUUUUAUCUAUUCCUUUCUCUAGUCUACUCAGGGUCAGGCAUCCUUUCCGACUACUCACUCAGCAGUGGAUCCCCACCCGCCUCUGACUCCCAGUGUCUUUCGGCUCCAACGUAAGUUCACCGAACGUCUAAGAGCUGAGGAUUCAAAGGCAUGUAAGACCGCCCCUGCCCUCAGCUGCAAGACCUGUCCGCGAUCCUACGAGCCCCAUUCCGCCCUCUUUCCCCGACCUUGGUCCCCCAUGGGCCCUACAACCAGGUCCCCGACUGACACCUUGACCAGCGAACACAGCAAACAGGCCCGCAGAUGCCGCAGGUCCUUCGGCACCGUCUCCAGGGCCAUCUUCGCCGAUGGGAAGAACAACAGAGAGCUAGACGACCACAGCCUGUGCACCCGCAGGAAAAGCAUUGGGGGCAGUGAAUCCACUGUCUCCGUCUGGAUUGUCUCUGCAGAGACCGAGAAGAAAUCCAGGGACAGCCCCACCCCUCCUUCCUAACUGCGAGAGCGCUAUAGGGUUUCCACUUGCUUCCCACAGGAAUGCUGGCCUGGGAGCUACGGCGGAAGAAAAUGCGUAUUUAUCUUUUAAAACUCCGUCUGUUUGCUCGUUCCGGCUGAGAAUUUAUACUUUGCGCAGUUCUUAGCGCUUAGACACGGUUCCUUUACUAAAGACCAUUUGUAGGAGAUUAGGUGUCCUUUUUUUCCCUUUCAUUUCACCGUCUAGGAAGCGAAAUGCCUUGUUCUAUAGGCACCAAACCACCACCCCUACCAAACCUUUCUCGGGGAAGCAGAAGGGGAACUUGUGCCUUGUGAGGAAGCGACAAAGGCCCCUUCUGGCCCUGGAGACUUCACGCCAAUGGAGCACCAGCUCUCUGUCCUCGCAAUAGCCCGAGUGCAGGCAGAACGCAGUCAUUUGUGUUUAUCUGAGAGGAGCUUUGGGAUAUAAAUAGUUUCAGGCCCCGCUGCUCUGUCAUUCCAGCCCAGCCUCCUGACUGAGCUGCUUCCGGGCGGGCUUGCUUCUUGUUGGCGGUCCCAUGCUGUGUUCAGACGGGCUCUGUGACAGGUUUGGAUGUUUUCUAUCACUGAAUAAAACUUUCCACUUUGGAACAUAUUUUCUACACUCUAUUAUCUCAUGUAAGUCCUGCAACAACUAUUAAGUAGGCCCAUUUUAUGGACUGAAAAAGCGAGGCACAGAGUAUUUGCCCAAGGUCUAAGUCACUGAAGUAUGAUAAUGUGUGAAGUGAACAGUAUAAUAAUAUGACUGAAGCACAGUAAGAAUCCAGUCAUGCUUUCUCCUUCCCUGAUCUCACUAAGCCACACUUUUAGGGGCUUACAAACCAGUUCUUAUUGCCAAGCCCUCUACUCUACCCUAUCCUUUCAUGAAUCGGAGCCUAGCCUCUGAUAACAGAAAUAAUUUACUUCUCUUGAUGUAGAAAGAGAUGACGUUGUUACCCUGAGUGACAGUCACGACAGAACAAAACCACAAGACCAGACCACAUUUGUGGAUAAAUAUAUUAGCAAAUAAAUAUAUUUCUUAACAUAGUGCCUGA